This 339-nucleotide RNase P RNA is filed under the name Helicobacter sp. MIT 99-10781. Its description in RNAcentral is "Bacterial RNase P class A". It matches the Rfam family "Bacterial RNase P class A". From Rfam's summary of the family: Ribonuclease P (RNase P) is a ubiquitous endoribonuclease, found in archaea, bacteria and eukarya as well as chloroplasts and mitochondria. Its best characterised activity is the generation of mature 5'-ends of tRNAs by cleaving the 5'-leader elements of precursor-tRNAs. Cellular RNase Ps are ribonucleoproteins. Lineage: Bacteria; Pseudomonadati; Campylobacterota; Epsilonproteobacteria; Campylobacterales; Helicobacteraceae. The record is from Rfam by way of RNAcentral. RNAcentral also lists the same sequence under 1 other name.
UGGGUGUGGCAGGUGGUUGCUUGCGUGUUUUUUGCAAACAAAAAAGCGCAAGAGGAAAGUCCGAGCUACAUUAAGACGAGGAUUCCAUUUAACAAAUGGCUGGCGCAAGUCAAGGGAAAGUGCAACAGAAAAAAACCGCUUUUUAAGCAAGGGUGAAAAGGUGGGGUAAGAGCCCACCGACUUUUUAGCAAUAUCAAGUGCCAUGCAAACCCAAUCCGUAGCAAGAAGGGCAGGUUGGAAGUCUUAAAAUUUAAAGUCCUUUGCAUGAGGGGCAAAGUGAUUUGUCCCCUAGAUAAAUAACCACCCACGACAGAACUCGGCUUACGCCACGCCCAAGAU